This 1375-nucleotide ribosomal RNA is filed under the name uncultured bacterium. Its description in RNAcentral is "partial 16S ribosomal RNA". It matches the Rfam family "Bacterial small subunit ribosomal RNA", at positions 28 to 1381 of the family's 1533-position model. The record is from RNAcentral.
GAUGAACGCUGGCGGCGUGCCUAAUACAUGCAAGUCGAGCGAACAGAUAAGGAGCUUGCUCCUUUGAAGUUAGCGGCGGACGGGUGAGUAACACGUGGGUAACCUACCUAUAAGACUGGGAUAACUUCGGGAAACCGGAGCUAAUACCGGAUAACAUUUAGAACCGCAUGGUUCUAAAGUGAAAGAUGGUUUUGCUAUCACUUAUAGAUGGACCCGCGCCGUAUUAGCUAGUUGGUAAGGUAACGGCUUACCAAGGCGACGAUACGUAGCCGACCUGAGAGGGUGAUCGGCCACACUGGAACUGAGACACGGUCCAGACUCCUACGGGAGGCAGCAGUAGGGAAUCUUCCGCAAUGGGCGAAAGCCUGACGGAGCAACGCCGCGUGAGUGAUGAAGGGUUUCGGCUCGUAAAACUCUGUUAUUAGGGAAGAACAAAUGUGUAAGUAACUGUGCACAUCUUGACGGUACCUAAUCAGAAAGCCACGGCUAACUACGUGCCAGCAGCCGCGGGUAUACGUAGGUGGCAAGCGUUAUCCGGAAUUAUUGGGCGUAAACCGCGCGUAGGCGGUUUCUUAAGUCUGAUGUGAAAGCCCACGGCUCCCCUUUUGGAGGGUCUUUGGAAACUGGGAAACUUGAGUGCAAAAAAGGAAAGGGGAAUUCCUUGUGUAGCGGUGAAAUGCCCAAAUAUUUGGAGGAACACCCGUGGCGAAGGCGACUUUCUGGUCUGUAACUGACGCUGAUGUGCAAAAGCGUGGGGAUCAAACAGGAUUAAAUCCCCUGGUAGUCCCCCCCCAAAACAAUAAUUGCUAGUUGUGGGGGGGUUUCCCCCCCUUGGGGGGGCAACAAACUUAUAAAAUCCCCCCCCGGGGGGGUAUGCCCGCGAGGUUAAUAUCUCAAAGGGAUUGGGGGGGCCCCCCCCCAGGGGGGGAGCGGUGGGUUUUUUUGUAACCCCCGCAAACAAUCCCACCCCAUCUUUGCCAUCUUUUGACAACUCUAGAGAUAGAGCCUUCCCCUUCGGGGGACAAAGUGACAGGUGGUGCAUGGUUGUCGUCAGCUCGUGUCGUGAGAUGUUGGGUUAAGUCCCGCAACGAGCGCAACCCUUAAGCUUAGUUGCCAUCAUUAAGUUGGGCACUCUAGGUUGACUGCCGGUGACAAACCGGAGGAAGGUGGGGAUGACGUCAAAUCAUCAUGCCCCUUAUGAUUUGGGCUACACACGUGCUACAAUGGACAAUACAAAGGGCAGCUAAACCGCGAGGUCAUGCAAAUCCCAUAAAGUUGUUCUCAGUUCGGAUUGUAGUCUGCAACUCGACUACAUGAAGCUGGAAUCGCUAGUAAUCGCAGAUCAGCAUGCUACGGUGAAUACGUUCCCGGGUCU